Molecule: ribosomal RNA, 482 nt
Filed under: uncultured bacterium
Lineage: Bacteria
Description: bacterial SSU rRNA
Rfam family: Bacterial small subunit ribosomal RNA
Source: RNAcentral
CUGGCGGCGUGCUUAACACAUGCAAGGUCGAACGGAGCUGUUUUUUGAAGCCUUCGGGCAGAAUCAAAACAGCUUAGUGGCGGACGGGUGAGUAACGCGUGGGUAACCUGCCUUAUACAGGGGGGAUAACAACCGGAAACGGUUGCUAAUACCGCAUAAGCGCACAGUAUUGCAUGAUACCGCGUGAAAAGAUUUAUCGGUAUAAGAUGGACCCGCGUCUGAUUAGCUAGUUGGUGAGGUAGAGACUCACCAAGGCAACGAUCAGUAGCCGGCUUGAGAGAGUGAACGGCCACAUUGGGACUGAGACACGGCCCAAACUCCUACGGGAGGCAGCAGUGGGGAAUAUUGCACAAUGGGGGAAACCCUGAUGCAGCGACGCCGCGUGAGUGAAGAAGUAUUUCGGUAUGUAAAGCUCUAUCAGCAGGGACGAUAAUGACGGUACCUGACUAAGAAGCCCCGGCUAACUACGUGCCAGCCGCCGC